Non-coding RNA from Myodes glareolus (Bank vole), 1395 nucleotides. The record is from RefSeq and is a predicted model, not a curated record. NCBI's taxonomy places the organism in Eukaryota, Metazoa, Chordata, Mammalia, Rodentia, Cricetidae.
AGCCCCUGCCCCCCCGGGGUGGCAGAAGUAGGCGUGGCGACAAGUAGGCGUCCCAGCGCGGGAGUCAAAGUCUGGAUUUCCUCUGCUCUCCAGCUCAGCCCCAGAGGCGGCUUGCCAUAGGUGCUUUUCCAGGUUUCUGAACAUUUUCUGACUCCUAUGUUGGUAAAGCUCUGCUGGAAAAGGAAGGAGAAACUCAAGGCUCCUGCUUGCGGUGUUUAAUAGGUUUCGGGAUAUCUAAUUUUAGGUAUCAUACCCUAAAAGGAUAUGGACAAAAUAUGAUGGAAAGAAAAUAGUUUACUUGACAAAUGAAGGCCACUCAUUUGUAAAAAGAAGCCCAAGACAUAUGAACGGAGGUGAUUCUGAAUUUGGCCUGAAGGAGGUGGCAUGGAGCCCUCGCUGUCAGCCUCUCACCGGGUUAUUGAGUGCUCAUUUCAGAAGCUGUGGCAGCUAGUGAGAGUUUAUCAGGAUCGAGUUAUCAAGGCUGAUCUGGUCACUGGGCAGGCGAUGUGCCCAUUGAUCACAGAGCCUCAGUGAGCCCCAAAUGAAUUUCUCACGGAGGACAUGCUUUUUGUCGCUAUGGGGUAAAAUUUUCUCUCUUCUUAGUUUUUGGAGUAGACAGUUUGCAUGUCUCUCCUGCCACUUGGUGUUUCGGCAUCUUUUUAUUUAUGUUGAGUUUGUUAAACCUUUUGGAUUUGUAAAUUUCUAGUAAUUUGAAUUGUAAAAGUUCAGUUAUAAUGCUCUUUAUCUAUUUAACAUAGCCCUUUCUUGCCCCCCUUCCUUUCCCUCUCAUUUCCUCUCUCCUUCUAUCCCUCCCUCUCUUCCCUUUUUUCUUUCUUUCUUUCCUCUUGAAUUUCAAUUCCAUUUGUAUUUCCUUUAUUGUCCCGUAAGUCACUAAGUCCCUGCUCAUGCUGUCUGUGGAUCUUUCCCACUCUUCCUUUAUAUAGGCUAGCCUCUACUGCUGUGAAUUCAGUUCCCAUGGUUUUUCUUUUUCACAAUCAAAUGUACUUUUUAUUCACACAGUAUAUUGUUCAUUUUUAUAUGAUGUUGUUUGUACCUCUAGAAUUUCCAUUUGGGUCAUUUUUAAUCAUCUUUUUCCCUCUCAUCAUGUUUAUUUUACUCUAUAUCUGUGAGCAUAAAUGUCCUCGACUAUAUAAAGCGUAUACAUUUAGUUGUUGAAUUACUAUUUGGAGACAGUUGAAACCCUCGGUGUAUAAGUUAGCUUUCUGAGGCAGGAUCUUGUUAUAUAGUCUAGAUUGGCCUUUAAUUCACAAUUCUCCUGCCUCAGCUUCCCAAGUGCUUCGUUAUAGGUAUGUGCCGCCAUCCCCAGCUUUUUAAGCACAUCUAUAAGAUGAACACUAUCUCAUUAAAGGUUUUAACCUGUUGAUUUUCUCAUUA